RNAcentral lists this long non-coding RNA (1487 nucleotides) under Anser cygnoides (Swan goose). RNAcentral describes it as "lncRNA (ENSACDG00005011219.1)". Lineage: Eukaryota; Metazoa; Chordata; Aves; Anseriformes; Anatidae. The record is from RNAcentral.
CUUUCAGACCAUGAGCUAGCAGGAUGAGGCCUUGCAGUUUGUUCAUGGAUGUCUCUCAGAACAAGACAGGGACAUUUAACCUACAUGAGAGAUCAACCAGUAAAUCCAGAGUUCUGGGUGGAAUCGAUACAGGCAAACAGCAAUGAGAGGCUGAGGGUGUCUUUGCUGGUCCCACAAAACAUGUAGAGAUGUGGACAAGGAAUUGGGAUUGCAGGACCUGGCAGUUUUCUGGAGCACUGGAGGAUUCCACAGGAGCUGCCCCCAGAUGCCUUCUGCAUUGCCUGGACCUGGUGCUUCCAGCUGUCAGCUCUGGAGCUGAUAUAGCAGCCCUGUGUUUGAGCAGCUGCAGCCCCGGGAAAGUUGUCUUACAGAGUGAAAGGACACCCAGGCUUCUGGCAGAACUGCCAGGUGGCCUCACAGGAGCUACUGUGGGAAUGUUUGGUAACAGAAUGAGGACACAAGCAAUAGCAGAAAAGGAAAGAUCACGUCAUCUUUGGCAUUCUUGGUCCUUGCUUCUAUUCCAGGGAGACCAAAGUUUAGGACACAAUCACAGGAUGAGUUCAGAGUGUUCAUUUCAUCAAGCCAUGAUAAUUGACAGGGUUGAUAAACUAAUACCUACGUGGACAUAGGACAUCAGUUCUGGGAACAGCUGUUUGUGACUCCUGUUUUCCUGGAAGGGCUUUCACCAGAUAUGCUGCAUUUCAAGAGUGCCUUCAGGCUCUGACAGAUGUGCCUGGCCGACCUGCGGUGGCGUCCCCCUGGUGCCUGCUGGGGCAGGGGUGGGAAGGAGCUGGCAGAGGGCAAGCAGAGCAGUCUGGCCACGCAUCUCCUGCUGCCGCUCUGGCUUUUCAGGGUGGUAGGAGCAGCUAGUGGAGGGGAAGCCACGAGGCAUAUGACUGCCUCUGGUUGUUUCCCUCUCUUUUUGCUCUCCUCAGUGCCUGGAGUCAGAAACUCAAAUGGGAAUGUUUUUCUGUUUUAAGAAGUACAUGUAUGUUUGUUUUCUGUGCUCUUCUGCUGUCUGCAGCUGGGCUUCUGGCACGUAUGUAAAGAUAGCAUAAAUCUAAGAGCUGAUCACAUGUAAUGAUUAUUAUCCGGUGCCACUUCUGAGGUAUCCUGGAAGCAUAUCCCAUCACACAGUCAUCUUUUUCCUGUGCUUCAGUGUUAUUAGCAGAGAUAGCCCAUGUUAUCUAGGUUACAUGUAUCAAAACAUACCAAGUUAAAACUAGGCUUUUAAACUAGUUUUAGCAGAACCAAUUUUACAUUCCCUGUAACUGGCUUCUUUUAUACCACGUGUCUUACCACAUGUAAGCCAUGUGUCUUACUGACAGUGACACGAUGAAAUGCAUGUAACCUUUUUUUCAACAAUGUCAACAGAUAAAUGAUUAAGGUAAAUACAGCCAAGCUGUUACAUGAAGAUUUUCAUGACAACUGCAUUUCUUGUACUUUGUAUCAAUAAAAACUAGUAUUCAUAACUUAGUCUAUUAAAA